AGGAGCCGUAUGAGAUGAAAAUCUCAUGUACGGUUCUGCAAUAAGGAUGAGAACAGUGAUGUUAUCUAACAGUUCAAAUACAGUUGAUAUAGUUGAAGCGCAAUCAAUAUAU
Molecule: non-coding RNA, 112 nt
Filed under: Helianthus annuus (common sunflower)
Lineage: Eukaryota; Viridiplantae; Streptophyta; Magnoliopsida; Asterales; Asteraceae
Source: RNAcentral